This 755-nucleotide ribosomal RNA is filed under the name Tridentiger barbatus (Shokihaze gobi). RNAcentral's name for it is "partial 12S ribosomal RNA". It matches the Rfam family "Bacterial small subunit ribosomal RNA", at positions 312 to 1405 of the family's 1533-position model. The record is from RNAcentral. Lineage: Eukaryota; Metazoa; Chordata; Actinopteri; Gobiiformes; Gobiidae.
AAAUAAAGGAGCAGGCAUUAGGCACAACCCCAGUUAGCCCACAAUGCCUUGUUCAGCCACACCCCCAAGGGAACCCAGCAGUAAUAAACAUUAAGCAAUAAGUGUAAACUUGACUUAGUUACAAAUCAAGAGGGCCGGUAAAACUCGUGCCAGCCACCGCGGUUAUACGAGAGGCCCAAGUUGACAAACACCGGCAUAAAAUGUGGUUUAUAUAGUAUUGCACUAAAGCUAAACUUCUUCAAGGCCGUUAUACGCAUUCGAAGAAAAGAGAAUCUUCCACGAAAGUGGCUUUAAAUAAUAUUACCCACGAAAGCUAGGAGACAAACUGGGAUUAGAUACCCCACUAUGCCUAGCCCUAAACACAAGCAAGUGCCCACACCCCUUGCUUGCCAGAGAAUUACGAGCCCCAGCUUAAAACUCAAAGGACUUGGCGGUGCUUUAGACCCACCUAGAGGAGCCUGUUCUAUAACCGAUAACCCCCGUUUAACCUCACCCUCUCUUGUUCCCCCCGCCUAUAUACCGCCGUCGUCAGCUUACCCCGUGAGGGGCCCAUAGUGAGCUUAAUUGGCACAGCCCAGAACGCCAGGUCCAGGUGUAGCAUAUGAGAGGGGAAGAAAUGGGCUACAUUCACUGUACCAGUGAAAACGAAUAAUACUUUGAAACAAGUACUUAAAGGAGGAUUUAGCAGUAAGGGGGGAGCAGAGUGCCCUUCUGAAACUGGCCCUGAAGCGCGCACAUACCGCCCGUCACUCUCC